RNAcentral lists this long non-coding RNA (353 nucleotides) under Triticum aestivum (bread wheat). RNAcentral's name for it is "long non-coding RNA (TAES_LNC025385)". Lineage: Eukaryota; Viridiplantae; Streptophyta; Magnoliopsida; Poales; Poaceae. The record is from RNAcentral.
AUGAAUGGAGAUCAGAGACAUGUCCAGUGCAAAAUAAAUUUCACACAACCAUCUUAACACUUGAAGUGUUCAUGGAUGCAACACUGAACAUCUCAACUCGAAGAGAUCACGAGCACGCACACAACCAUCAUCAAAAGGUUGGUACCUUCCCUAGUGUUUCACCAUCAACCUAACCAGACCACUUCUCUAGAUGUAUGUACAAAGCGUCGAGGUCCUCCACCUUGAGGAACUCCGGACGGUGGCGUCGUCCUCCACCUCGGUGACCUGCGGACGGUGGCGUCGAGGUCCUCCACCCUGGGGACCUCCUGCGUCGCAAACACCUGGACGAUAAUUUGUAUGACGCGGUCGCGGGG